This 468-nucleotide ribosomal RNA is filed under the name uncultured bacterium. RNAcentral describes it as "partial 16S ribosomal RNA". It matches the Rfam family "Bacterial small subunit ribosomal RNA", at positions 28 to 507 of the family's 1533-position model. The record is from RNAcentral.
GACGAACGCUGGCGGCGUGCUUAACACAUGCAAGUCGAACGGAAAGGCCCUGCUUUUGUGGGGUGCUCGAGUGGCGAACGGGUGAGUAACACGUGAGUAACCUGCCCUUGACUUUGGGAUAACUUCAGGAAACUGGGGCUAAUACCGGAUAGGAGCUCCUGCUGCAUGGUGGGGGUUGGAAAGUUUCGGCGGUUGGGGAUGGACUCGCGGCUUAUCAGCUUGUUGGUGGGGUAGUGGCUUACCAAGGCUUUGACGGGUAGCCGGCCUGAGAGGGUGACCGGCAAAAGGGGGACGUAGAUCGGACCGAGCCGCCAGCGGGGGGAAGCGGGGGGAAGUAUGGCACAAUGGCGGGAGGCCUGAGCCAGCAGGCCCGGGUGCGGAAUGAGGGCCUUCGGUUUGUAAACCACUUUCGCCUGUAAGGAAGGGGGAGGGAGGGUAAUGGGUAAAGAAGCCCGGGCUAAUUACGUG